Long non-coding RNA from Oreochromis niloticus (Nile tilapia), 765 nucleotides. RefSeq lists it as uncharacterized. The record is from RefSeq and is a predicted model, not a curated record. The transcript is spliced from 3 exons. NCBI's taxonomy places the organism in Eukaryota, Metazoa, Chordata, Actinopteri, Cichliformes, Cichlidae.
CUACUGAUAGGCACUGAUGCUUCCAACGCUUUAGAGUCAUGGAAGGUGAUACAGUGUGGAAGGUGGACCUUAUGCUGUAAAAACCAAAGUUGGCAAAGUUGUUGUGGAUCUGUUACCCCUCAGAGCUGCCCAAGCAUAUGCUGCUCCUAGAUGUAAAGACCAUAUGGAACUCUCUGUAUUUGAUGAAGGAGAGAUUCUGCGAGCAGUUUCCUGCCAUCCAGGCUGCAGCCAUCGAUCCACGGAUAAGAAAGUCCAUGAAAAAGGAAAGACUGGCUAAAAUGGGCAAUGAUGACUUAAGAAAAGCAGAGGAGUUUGUGGUGCUCAUGCGGAAGCACUACACCUCCACACCAGCAGCGACAAAAGUCCGACCUGUGGUGAGAUUCUGCUCAUCCUGCAAAAGCUACUGCAACACUACACCGUGCAAGAAGAUGACUCUGUCUUCACAAGGAGCAUAAAGGAGAACAUUUGGAAAGAUCUUUCCAAAUGAUACCAGGAUGCUGAUAUCCAGAGAUUCCUGGAGGAGGCCACCAUCUUGGACCCCCGAUUUAAAUCCAAAGUGAAUAAGGAUGAAGUCUGGGACAGGAUCAGGGAAGCAGCAAAGACAGAGGCAGGACCAGAUGAGGUAUUUCAAUAUGACAGUGUCUUACUUUGUAGCCUAUUUCCAUUGUGAGAGUGAGACCUUUAGUUUGAUUCGUUUGUGUAUUUGUCACUUUCUACUCAAGCACCAGGAGCAAGGAGACACACAGGGAAAGUUGUUCAAAGAUG